Molecule: ribosomal RNA, 225 nt
Filed under: uncultured bacterium
Lineage: Bacteria
Description: partial 16S ribosomal RNA
Rfam family: Bacterial small subunit ribosomal RNA
Source: RNAcentral
GCCACACUGGAACUGAGACACGGUCCAGACUCCUACGGGAGGCAGCAGUGGGGAAUUUUGGACAAUGGGGGAACCUGAUCCAGCCAUUCCGCGUGAGUGAAGAAGGCCUUCGGGUUGUAAAGCUCUUUCGGCAGGAACGAAACGGUGUGGGCCAAUACCCUGCAUCAAUGACGGUACCUGAAGAAGAAGCACCGGCUAACUACGUGCCAGCAGCCGCGGUAAUAA